GUCGUAACAAGGUCUCCGUUGGUGAACCAGCGGAGGGAUCAUUACUGAGUUUACGCUCUAUAACCCUUUGUGAACAUACCUAUAACUGUUGCUUCGGCGGGUAGGGUCUCCGCGACCCUCCCGGCCUCCCGCCUCCGGGCGGGUCGGCGCCCGCCGGAGGAUAACCAAACUCUGAUUUAACGACGUUUCUUCUGAGUGGUACAAGCAAAUAAUCAAAACUUUUAACAACGGAUCUCUUGGUUCUGGCAUCGAUGAAGAACGCAGCGAAAUGCGAUAAGUAAUGUGAAUUGCAGAAUUCAGUGAAUCAUCGAAUCUUUGAACGCACAUUGCGCCCGCCAGCAUUCUGGCGGGCAUGCCUGUUCGAGCGUCAUUUCAACCCUCAAGCUCUGCUUGGUGUUGGGGCCCUACAGCUGAUGUAGGCCCUCAAAGGUAGUGGCGGACCCUCCCGGAGCCUCCUUUGCGUAGUAACUUUACGUCUCGCACUGGGAUCCGGAGGGACUCUUGCCGUAAAACCCCCCAAUUUUCCAAAGGUUGACCUCGGAUCAGGUAGGAAUACCCGCUGAACUUAAGCAUAUCA
RNAcentral lists this ribosomal RNA (577 nucleotides) under fungal endophyte. RNAcentral's name for it is "eukaryotic LSU rRNA". The stretch from base 217 to 370 matches the Rfam family "5.8S ribosomal RNA". Lineage: Eukaryota; Fungi. The record is from RNAcentral.